Molecule: non-coding RNA, 79 nt
Filed under: Teichococcus deserti
Lineage: Bacteria; Pseudomonadati; Pseudomonadota; Alphaproteobacteria; Acetobacterales; Roseomonadaceae
Also listed under: 1 other name
Description: Roseomonas deserti Alpha-proteobacteria SAM riboswitch aptamer
Rfam family: Alpha-proteobacteria SAM riboswitch aptamer
About the family: This family is a riboswitch found predominantly in alpha-proteobacteria that binds S-adenosyl methionine (SAM).
Source: Rfam by way of RNAcentral
CGACGGGGUGCUCGCGAUUUGUCCGGCCAGCUUGCGGCGAGCCUAAACAACCGCGCUAAACGGCCGUGGCGGAAGCGCG